CCUACGGGUGGCAGCAGUGAGGAAUAUUGGUCAAUGGACGAGAGUCUGAACCAGCCAAGUAGCGUGAAGGAUGACUGCCCUAUGGGUUGUAAACUUCUUUUAUAAAGGAAUAAAACGAGGCACGUGUGCCUUUUUGCAUGUACUUUAUGAAUAAGGAUCGGCUAACUCCGUGCCAGCAGCCGCGGUAAUACGGAGGAUCCGAGCGUUAUCCGGAUUUAUUGGGUUUAAAGGGAGCGUAGAUGGGUUGUUAAGUCAGUUGUGAAAGUUUGCGGCUCAACCGUAAAAUUGCAAUUGAUACUGGCAGUCGUGAGUACAGUUGAUGUAGGCGGAAUUCGUGGUGUAGCGGUGAAAUGCUUAGAUAUCACGAAGAACCCCGAUUGCGAAGGUAGCUUACUAAACUGUGACUGACAUUGAUGCUCGAAAGUGUGGGUAUCAAACAGGAUUAGAUACCCUGGUAGUC
Molecule: ribosomal RNA, 460 nt
Filed under: uncultured bacterium
Lineage: Bacteria
Description: partial 16S ribosomal RNA
Rfam family: Bacterial small subunit ribosomal RNA
Source: RNAcentral